This 113-nucleotide ribosomal RNA is filed under the name Propithecus coquereli (Coquerel's sifaka). Lineage: Eukaryota; Metazoa; Chordata; Mammalia; Primates; Indriidae. The record is from RNAcentral.
AUCGAUGGCCAUACCACCCUGAACACGCCCGAUCUCGUCUGAUCUCGGAAGCUAAGCAGGGUCGGGCCUGGUUAGCACUUAGUACUUGGAUGGGAGAAACCAGUCUUUGGAUG